GAACAGCUAUAUUUGCAUUUAAUACAGUCUCAACGUCAUUAUUUAUGACUGGAGGAAAGUUACAACAACUAUUUUUUGAGAAUUUAUUGUGUUCAAAAGAUUUUCACUCCUUCUCUCUCUCUAGAACUUAAGCUACCAUAAUUGAUUCUUGAGACCUUGCUUGUUUAAGCUGUAAUUUUGAGUUUAGAAAGUUUGUUCAAAGUUAUUGAGAGCAUUUAUUAUAACAUGAGUGUGAUAAAGCAUUAAAUUGAUCUUGGGAGAAAAAGGAAUUGUAAAAGAAAAGAGUUCGCUCUUGUGAUUUUGUAAGAAAUUUAUUCUUUACCCAAAGAAGAAUUAUAGUGGAGUUAACUCUCAAGAAAAGCAUUGAAGAGAGGACGCAGGCUUGGGAUAGCUGACCCUCUAUAAAUCUCUCGUGUUCUUUCUUCUUUUCCUUUUCCUUGUGUAUACCUCUUAGCCUUCAAAGUUUUAAUUAACACCUAAUUCAUCCUCCUCCCCCCCUUUUGGGUUGCUACAAGGGAUAAUAUAGUAUUUUCCCAUUGAGCGUAUGUUUUUAUUAAAUACCAUACAGAUAAUAGUUCAAACACCCUAAUGCCUAACUUUAAGUUCACUUGUCUAAUCUUUCACAACAGAACUCAUAUCUGGUGUUUAAGAUAAAUAAUGUGACUUAAAUCACAUAUGGUCAAUGCAAUUACUUAACUUACAAUGGCCCUAGUUCUUUAUCUCUGUUCCGAAGUGACAUUUCAUGUUAUAACUUUUCAGCUCUUUAUUAUUACCACAUAAUAAUAAUAAGCU
This 792-nucleotide unclassified non-coding RNA is filed under the name Hevea brasiliensis (rubber tree). Lineage: Eukaryota; Viridiplantae; Streptophyta; Magnoliopsida; Malpighiales; Euphorbiaceae. The record is from RNAcentral.